UUUGGUGGCAAUAGUGACGAGGAAACACCUGUUCCCAUUCCGAAUACAGAAGUAAAGCUCGUUACGUCGAAAAUACUCGGCUGGUUACGGCCCGGAAAAAUAGAUACUGCCAAGA
RNAcentral lists this ribosomal RNA (115 nucleotides) under Candidatus Babelota bacterium. The record is from RNAcentral.